AUGGAGCAGAGCACACACUGUAAUAACACACCCACAUUAUGUGUGUGUGUUAUUACAGUAUGUGCUCUGCUCCAU
This is a non-coding RNA of Podarcis lilfordi (Lilford's wall lizard), 75 nucleotides long. The record is from the annotation of a GenBank genome assembly. Lineage: Eukaryota; Metazoa; Chordata; Lepidosauria; Squamata; Lacertidae.